This 464-nucleotide ribosomal RNA is filed under the name uncultured bacterium. Its description in RNAcentral is "partial 16S ribosomal RNA". It matches the Rfam family "Bacterial small subunit ribosomal RNA", at positions 28 to 507 of the family's 1533-position model. The record is from RNAcentral.
GACGAACGCUGGCGGCGUGCCUAACACAUGCAAGUCGAGCGAAUGAAGUUCCUUCGGGAAUGGAUUUAGCGGCGGACGGGUGAGUAACACGUGGGCAACCUGCCUCAUAGAGGGGAAUAGCCUCCCGAAAGGGAGAUUAAUACCGCAUAAGAUUGUAGUACCGCAUGAUACAGCAAUUAAAGGAGAAAUCCGCUAUGAGAUGGGCCCGCGGCGCAUUAGCUAGUUGGUGAGGUAAUGGCUCACCAAGGCGACGAUGCGUAGCCGACCUGAGAGGGUGAUCGGCCACAUUGGGACUGAGACACGGCCCAGACUCCUACGGGAGGCAGCAGUGGGGAAUAUUGCACAAUGGGGGAAACCCUGAUGCAGCAACGCCGCGUGAGUGAUGACGGCCUUCGGGUUGUAAAGCUCUGUCUUCAGGGACGAUAAUGACGGUACCUGAGGAGGAAGCCACGGCUAACUACGUG